UUCCGGUUGAUCCUGCCGGAGGUCAUUGCUAUUGGAGUCCGAUUUAGCCAUGCUAGUCGUACGAGUUCAGACUCGUGGCGAAUAGCUCAGUAACACGUGGUCAAACUACCCACUGGAGCGCAAUACCCUCGGGAAACUGAGGCUAAUGGCGCAUACGGCUCGCUGCCUGGAACUGGCGCGAGCUCGAAAUGCUCCGGCGCCAGUGGAUGUGGCUGCGGCCGAUUAGGUAGACGGUGGGGUAACGGCCCACCGUGCCGAUAAUCGGUACGGGUCAUGAGAGUGAGAGCCCGGAGACGGAAUUUGAGACAAGAUUCCGGGCCCUACGGGGCGCAGCAGGCGCGAAACCUUUACACUGCACGACAGUGCGAUAAGGGGACUCCAAGUGCGAGGGCAUAUCGUCCUCGCUUUUCACCACCGUUAAGUGUGGUGGUGGAAUA
Molecule: ribosomal RNA, 437 nt
Filed under: uncultured haloarchaeon
Lineage: Archaea; Methanobacteriati; Methanobacteriota; Halobacteria; Halobacteriales; Halobacteriaceae
Description: bacterial SSU rRNA
Rfam family: Archaeal small subunit ribosomal RNA
Source: RNAcentral